Myotis daubentonii (Daubenton's bat) is the source of this 1309-nucleotide long non-coding RNA. RefSeq lists it as uncharacterized. NCBI's taxonomy places the organism in Eukaryota, Metazoa, Chordata, Mammalia, Chiroptera, Vespertilionidae. The record is from RefSeq and is a predicted model, not a curated record.
UCACAAAGAUCAGUCACGUGUGUUCAUCAAGUAGAGAGAUCAGGAGAUUUCAUAGAUUUGCUCUUUAAUCAUUAUUUGCUGCUCAUGUUACUAACAUUACAACUUACAUCAGUAAGAAUUAAGUCUGUCUAUUUCUUGGCAGGAUAUUUUGUGACCUGAGGCUUGGUUUUCAAUAUUUUAGGAAUAGACAAACUCAGUUUUUCUCACCCACUGUUACUUGACAAUCUGGGUACCUUUCUCAACUGUGCUUGGGAUUUCUCUACACUUCCCAGGUGCAGUGGCCGCCCACGGCUCCCCAUCAGCUGUGAAGAGACCACCUUCCUUUCCUUUGAUGACGGGCGGCGUGCGGGAGUCCUGGGAGCCGUGUGUCCUGGGUGUGCACCCUGCCUGUGGAUCCCGCAGGAAGGUGUAGUGGCCGUGUAGACUCUGUAUCAGGCAUGAAGAGAAGACCAUGCUUUCCUUUGAUGAUGGGUGGCAUGCGAGAGUCCUGGAAGCCAUGUGUCCUGGGUGUGCACCCUGCCUGUGGAUCCCACAGGAAGGUGGAGUGGCUGUGUAGACUCUGCAUCAGCCAUGAAGAGAAGAAAAUCCUUUCCUUUGAUGAUGGGCGGCGUGCGGGAGUCCUGGAAGAUGUGUGUCCCUGGGUGUGCACCCGGCCUGUGGAUCCCUCAGGAAGGUGGAGUGGCCGUGUAGACUCACCAUCAGCAAUGAAGACAUGACCUUCCUUUCCUUUGUUGAUGGGUGGCGUGUGGAAAUCCUGGAAGCCGAGUGUCCCGGCGUGUGCACCCUGCUGGUGGAUCCCUGAGGAAGGUGGAGUGGCCAUGUAGACUCACCAUCAUCCAUGAAGUGAAGACCAUCCUUUCCUGUGAUGAUGGCAGGUGUGUGGGAGUCCUGCAGCCGAGUGUCCCUGGGUGUGCACCCUGCCUGUGGAUCCUUCAGGAAGGAGGAGUGGCCAUGUAGACUCACCAUCAGCAAUGAAGACACGACCUUCCUUUCCUUUGUUGACGGAUGUAAUGGGGGAGUCCUGGAAGUCGAGGAUCGCUGAGAAAGAUCGCGUCGUCACAAAAGGACUGUCGUCCGCCUGGAAGAAACCACCUUGCUCUCUACCUGGGGGUCGGACGUGUGCGGGUCCUGGAAGAAGUGUUGCCCCGGUUCUGCCUCAUGCCCCCGGGGCGCUCAGGAAGGUAAGCCUUUCUCUGUCCCAAGGUCAGCCAAUUGGAACCGUGUGUCUGGGCCAAGUCCCUGUGUCCAGAACGUGCUGGGAUCGAUGAUGACUCCCUCCAAAAAAAAACCCAAACCAACAUUCCUUGGA